UACGUAGGGUGCGAGCGUUAAUCGGAUUUACUGGGCGUAAAGGGCGCGUAGGCGGCAAAUUAAGUCAGCUGUGAAAUCUCCGAGCUUAACUCGGAACGGUCAGCUGAUACUGAUCUGCUAGAGUGCGGAAGGGGCAAUCGGAAUUCUUGGUGUAGCGGUGAAAUGCGUAGAUAUCAAGAGGAACACCUGAGGUGAAGACGGGUUGCUGGGCCGACACUGACGCUGAGUGCGCGAAAGCCAGGGGAGCAAACGGG
RNAcentral lists this ribosomal RNA (254 nucleotides) under uncultured bacterium. RNAcentral describes it as "partial 16S ribosomal RNA". It matches the Rfam family "Bacterial small subunit ribosomal RNA", at positions 524 to 776 of the family's 1533-position model. The record is from RNAcentral.